Molecule: ribosomal RNA, 1737 nt
Filed under: Aliidiomarina halalkaliphila
Lineage: Bacteria; Pseudomonadati; Pseudomonadota; Gammaproteobacteria; Alteromonadales; Idiomarinaceae
Description: Aliidiomarina sp. IM1326 partial 23S ribosomal RNA
Rfam family: Bacterial large subunit ribosomal RNA
Source: RNAcentral
UGCUGGGUAGGGGAGCGUUGUGUAAGCCGUUGAAGGUGGAUUGAGAAGUCUGCUGGAGGUAUCACAAGUGCGAAUGCUGACAUGAGUAACGAUAAUGGGGGUGAAAAACCCCCACGCCGGAAGACCAAGGGUUCCUAUCCCAUGCUAAUCAGGGUAGGGUAAGUCGGCCCCUAAGGCGAGGCUGAAAAGCGUAGUCGAUGGGAAACAGGUUAAUAUUCCUGUACUGCUGCAUACUGCGAUGGGGUGACGGAGAAGGCUAGGCAAGCGCGGCGUUGGUAGUCCGCGUGAAAGUGAGUAGGUUGGGCGUUUAGGUAAAUCCGGAUGCCCUUAAGACUGAGACACGAGACGAGACUCUACGGAGUUGAAGUUGUUGAUGCCAUGCUUCCAGGAAAACCCUCUAAGCUUCAGGUAUGCAGAACCGUACCCGAAACCGACACAGGUGGUCAGGUAGAGAAUACUAAGGCGCUUGAGAGAACUCGGGUGAAGGAACUAGGCAAAAUAGUACCGUAACUUCGGGAGAAGGUACGCCCUUGUUGGUGAUGGACUUCGCGUCCUGAGCUGGUGAGGGUCGCAGUGACCAGGUGGCUGGGACUGUUUAUUAAAAACACAGCACUCUGCAAAAUCGAAAGAUGACGUAUAGGGUGUGACACCUGCCCGGUGCCGGAAGGUUAAUUGAUGGGGUUAGCUUCGGCGAAGCUCUUGAUCGAAGCCCCGGUAAACGGCGGCCGUAACUAUAACGGUCCUAAGGUAGCGAAAUUCCUUGUCGGGUAAGUUCCGACCUGCACGAAUGGUGUAACCAUGGCCACGCUGUCUCCACCCGAGACUCAGUGAAAUUGAAAUCGCUGUGAAGAUGCAGUGUACCCGCGGCUAGACGGAAAGACCCCGUGAACCUUUACUACAGCUUGGCACUGAACAUUGAACCUACAUGUGUAGGAUAGGUGGGAGGCUUUGAAGCAUUGGCGCUAGCUGGUGUGGAGCCAACCUUGAAAUACCACCCUUGUAUGUUUGAUGUUCUAACGUAGGUCCCUAAUCGGGAUCGCGGACAGUGCCUGGUGGGUAGUUUGACUGGGGCGGUCUCCUCCCAAAGAGUAACGGAGGAGCACGAAGGUUGGCUAAGUACGGUCGGACAUCGUACGGUUAGUGCAAAGGCAUAAGCCAGCUUAACUGCGAGACAGACACGUCGAGCAGGUGCGAAAGCAGGUCUUAGUGAUCCGGUGGUUCUGAAUGGAAGGGCCAUCGCUCAACGGAUAAAAGGUACUCCGGGGAUAACAGGCUGAUACCGCCCAAGAGUUCAUAUCGACGGCGGUGUUUGGCACCUCGAUGUCGGCUCAUCACAUCCUGGGGCUGAAGUCGGUCCCAAGGGUAUGGCUGUUCGCCAUUUAAAGUGGUACGCGAGCUGGGUUUAGAACGUCGUGAGACAGUUCGGUCCCUAUCUGCCGUGGGCGUUUGAGAAUUGAAAGGGGUUGCUCCUAGUACGAGAGGACCGGAGUGAACGAACCGCUGGUGUUCGGGUUGUCAUGCCAAUGGCACUGCCCGGUAGCUACGUUCGGAAUCGAUAACCGCUGAAAGCAUCUAAGCGGGAAGCGAGCCUUGAGAUGAGUUCUCACUAGCAUGUAAUUGCUCUAAAGGGUUGUUGAAGACUACAACGUUGAUAGGCACGGUGUGGAAGCGCUGUAAGGCGUUGAGCUAACGUGUACUAAUUGCCCGUGAGGCUUAACCAUACAACACCAAAAGGGU